UACGUAGACCUCGAGCGUUAUCCGGAAUUAUUGGGCGUAAAGCGCUAAAAGGUGGUUUAGAAAGUCAGUCAUAAAAGCCCGGGGCUCAACUCCGGAUCUAUGGCUGAAACUCCUAGACUAGAGGGUAGAAGAGGCAAGCGGAAUGGCCGGUGUAGCAGUAAAAUGCGUUAAUAUCGGCUAGAACACCAAUGGCGAAGGCAGCUUGCUGGGAUACUCCUGACACUAAAUAGCGAAAGCGUGGGUAGCGAAUGGG
RNAcentral lists this ribosomal RNA (253 nucleotides) under uncultured bacterium. Its description in RNAcentral is "partial 16S ribosomal RNA". It matches the Rfam family "Bacterial small subunit ribosomal RNA", at positions 524 to 776 of the family's 1533-position model. The record is from RNAcentral.